AGUUAAUGUUUGUUUAGUCGUGGGUUUGUGGGUUUCAUGCGCAGUCAUGAAGUCUCUGUAAAGGCCUAUAUAAUGGCUUCUUCUGUUGCAAAUAAAGGUGUGAGUUUGCAAUAUUAAAAAUGCCAUCUUAUCCAUUUUCUUAUCUGCUCUAUUCUAUCAUAGAUAACUAAGAGAAAUUCACUACAGUGUAGAGGGCUUUUCGGCAGUGGCAGGGAUUCUCUUGAACCGUUGGUGGCGUGAACUUAGAGAGCUAGAAAGAGUAAAAUAUUCUUGCAAGUUACAACUCAACUGUGAUAGAAAGGUAUAGGUUUAAUUUUAUCACUAUGGCUAUAUUUCUUGAAUUAAUCUAGGAAGGAUAUCACUAAUUCUUUUUGUUAUAAUGACAAAGAUCGAGUUGGGAACAGUGUGGUCAUGGAAAACAUUGUAGUAUUUAUAAGGCCAUGGGAAUAUAAGUAGAAUUUUGUAAUGAAAAUCUUACUAUUUAAAAUAUGGAUAAGAACUAUUUGAGAUUGCCCUUUUGAAGUUAGAACACUUUGCACAUGGAAUUCGUUUUAGAGUUUUGUAUAUAUUGUUAGAUUAGUUACAUACUUGCAUUACAUAUAUUCAUGUAAUAAGGUUAGAAUUCCUCUAACUCACGUGUAGUUACAGGUGCAUUAAUGAGCGUAAAGUUUAGGAUGAUUAGAAACCUUUUAAGCCAGCCAAAUAAGCUUUGAAUAUGUGAAUGAUUAAGGGAUUAGUCGACUGAUUAGCAUACCAAUUGUUGGAUUUAGUAUAAGAAUUCAGAUUUGCCUUAUCGUAGUAUCGAGAUUGGAACUUGAUGAUAGAUUGGACUCUUCCACUUAUGGGUAGUUCGAUAAUAUCAUUUGUUCGGGGAUUUAACCAUAAUCGACGGGAGUCGACUUUUGAGUUAACUUUAUUUUGAAUAUUUCAAAAGAAUUAUGAGAUCAACCCGAUUAACAUAAUUGAUAUUGUUAAUCAAUAUUUUUGGUUAGAUUGAGGUUGUUGGAGGCCAUUUGAUUGGUGUUCUAGACAUUGCAAGGUUAGAAAACUUUUCGUUAAUGAGGUAAGUGAGACUUUAAGUUUUGAUACUUGCUUUUCAAAACCUGUCUUGAAAAUGUAUUUUAUCUGCGGUGUCCAUGUGUUGGGACAAGGGUGCGCUUGGCAGAAUCGGUGAUCUUUGACUAGCCGCAAAUAUAUUAUUUUAUGACAAAAAUAAUACUAAAAUUACUUUGUAAGUUGUUUGAUGGUGUGAUAUGGCUGUGAGCCAUGAUGCUGGGUUUGAUGGUUUGAUACGGUUGUGAGCCAUGAUGUUGGGGCAUUGUGUAUGCUUUUGUACAUCACUAGAGCAUUGUGUAUGUUUCUUGAUAUAAUUGAGGCAUUGUGUAUGCUUCUGUGUUCAUUUGUAUGCUCUUUACAUAUUUGAGGCAUUGUGGUGUCGUCGUGGACUUGUCGGGGUGUUAGUAAAUUUUUUACACUGUCAUUUAUGACAAGUCCUUAGUGUAAAUUGUGUUGAGAUAUAAAAUGCUACCUGUUAAAUACUGGUCUAAACUUUAUUGAGUAUUAUAUUGUGCAAUAAUUUCUGUGCAUAUUAUAUAUGUACUUUUUGUGUGUUUGUAUUUUCUAAUACUUGUUCCAGGGUAUUUAAAGUGGCGGGUCGAGAAUCCUACUGGGUUAUAUUCACGUAUAACUCACUCCUUACCUGCAUAUCCAUGUAGAUACUAUUCGUGGAGACAGAGCUAGUAGCUGACGAGUUCUCUAGAGUUGAUCCAAUUAUUGAGGUGAGUCAUUGCAUUAUUCGUGGAGGCUGCCAAAAAGUCUUUAUCAUUUAUUCAUAUGAUGUUUUUUAUAUUCCUCUUAGAUGCUCCAUGGUCUAGUGUGGGAUUUGGGAUAGAGUGUUAUUCCUUAAUUUUCAUUAUUAUUAUUCAUAAAUAUUUAUGGAAUAAUUUAGAUCGGUAAUUAUGCAUCAAAUUAUCAAAAUAUUGAAACUUGCGUUUAUUUUGAUUGACUUUUUAAAAAAAAUGCUAAUUGUAUGGUAUAAAUUGGUUUACCUGGCGGGUAGUGUUAGUUGAGUGUCAGUCACGACUAGAGGAUACUUUAGGACGUGACAUAAACACUUUUCAAAGCAAGCAGAUUUUGGAAGUUUGGUCAAAUAUGCUAUUAAAUUGGGGCAAAAUUGCGGUGUAUAUGGCAACGUAUCAUGCAAGUCCCCAUUAAAUCAACCCCAAGAUGAAUAAUUAACCUAAAUAAUCGCUCACCUUAUCUCUUUAACUAAAAGUAGUCGAUGGAUGUAUAACAUAUGGAUAAUUCAUAUAUAAUAUAUCUAAUAAUCGUGUAUAAUCGAUAUAAUCGACUAGAGAAAAUAAAUGGCAAAUCCGACGGGCUGUUUAUGUAAAGAUUCCAAUCAGGAUUAACUCAUGGGCUAGCAGCCCACUUUAUUGGGCUAGGUAGAAAAAAAAGUAAAAUUGUACUACGAGGGACACUAGUAAGGCCUUGAUACCAAGGGAGUCAUAUGCUGGUGAAAAUUCUUGACUCUAGUCUCUUGAAGGAAUUACAAAUAGGAUACCUUGGGACACUGCUUAAUAAAACAGAGAAAUGGGUUAUUAUUAUGUAAGAAGGCAAGUCUUUGUUUAUCAGAGCACAACAUGAACAUCAUCUCUCUUAAGAAAAACACAAUAAAACCCCAUAUAUAUUUUCAAGGGAAAACUUCAAUAAGAGACCUAAGGCCAAAGAUUGGUCUUAUAUUGUAACGAGUAAAGCCAGCUUCAAGGAAUAGCUUUCCCCAUUCUUCCUCAGUUCUUUCUUUUGCAGUAAAAACCAUUGCCAUCCACAUGUCAAACAUGAGCUUCACUUCAGUCAUGUCUGGCUCUUCUUCAUUUCUAUUCAAUAUCAUGUCAAUGAUAAGGACCUUCCCUUUUCUUCCCUCUUCAUUCUCUGCAACAGCUUCUCUGCAUUUCUUCAGUAGCUUGACACAAUCCUCAUCUCUCCAACUGUGCAAUACAUGCUGCAAAACAUAACAAUGUGACACUGUAUCGAAUUUUGAUUAAUUUGAGCAAUAUUCUGCCAACUUCAAAGAUGGUUAGUUAGAUCAAACAGACGUAAAAUUAGUUUAACAAUUAAUUUAAAUAAUAUAAAAAGGAUCUAGAAAGUUGAAUUCAUGUGAAAAAUUUGUGCUUCUGUAUAAUCUAUGCUAGUAUAGAAGGUUGUGCCUCAGAUAGUGUAUAGAAAAUGGAGAAACAAAUUCCAACCUAAGUAGAAGUUGCCCAAAUUAUAUUUGACAAUCUAUGUGGGGAUUUAAUUUUAGUGUACUUAACCUGCUUUUUUUUUCCGAGUUACCAAUCUCACUUUUAUGGACUGCUCUUUUAAGUGAUUUGAUAGUGUGCUAAAAUCAAACUCAUGUACAUAAAGGAUGUUAAGUAUAAAGUUCUUGUAUAUACCUUAAGCAAAAUGGCAUCAGCGUGAGGAAUAGAUUGAAACAUAUCCCCUCCAACAUAGCUUAAAUUCUCACUUUGUGGCAUGUUGGCAACAACAUGUUGAAGAUCAAGGACAGUGCACUUCAAGUGAGGAAAUGCCUCAAAAAUGGUCUUAGCUAUAAUCCCAAUGCCCCCUCCAACAUCAACCAAUGAGUUCAUCCCCUCAAAAACUUCCUUACAAUCCUUGACAACUAAUCUCAUCAUUUGGGAAUCACUAGCCAUUCCUUCAUUGAAAUCUUUGUCGAAUCUUGGAUUUUGUGCACAAAAUUCCCACAUAGGUACCCCAUGGGCUGUCUCAAAUGCUGUGGCUUCUUCAUUCUUAUUGUGAAACCAUUCAAGCAUUAGUUGCCAAGGAGUGACAACGAUAGGGUCAAUCAUUACUCUAACGCAAGGUGACAAGUUUGGGAAUUCACUCUUAAGAAGCAGCCUUGAAGGAGUUGUCAAAAUAUAUCCCUCUGUCUCUGAGUUUUCGUCGAUCUUUGCUGUAGCAAAGAAUCCAGAGUGCGCCAACAGGCGCAUUAGUCGAUAAAUGCCUAUUGAUUUUGAUGAGGGAAGUUUGAGUGCUGAAACUAGCUCAGGAAGAGUGAUUGGUUUUCUGUGGUUAUGUAUAAUAUCUGGUAUGCCUAGAUGAAUGGCACAAUUCAAGGCCAUGGAAUUUGCAUAACCAAAUGCAUGCUUGUAGAUAUGAGCCUGUGCUUUGAACAACUCAUUAAUAUUAUCUGUUUCCAUUAUUAGCUCAGGAAGUUCUCUAUAAUUGUUGCUGAAACUAGGCAAGUGUGAUACAUGAGCUAUCUUUAUGUUUAUGUAUUGAACUAGGCUUUUGAUGGCAUGCUCAGAAUUGUGACAACUCACUCUUUUCUUUGUCAUAUGGUUCACUGUUGGCUUGUGUGACAUUCAAAUGUCAGCUCUAAGCUUAUUCUCAUGUUUACCCUAGGACUUCAAUUUCCUGUCUUUUAGCAUUGAAACUUAACCGCCCUUUUGUUUGUUUUUAUAUAUCCAUCUCUGUAUUGCUUUCUGUUUUUCAUUUAAACUUCCUCAACUACUUAUUCCAAAUAUCAAAUACUACCCAUGUUAAGGCUUUUUUGGCUUUGAAGAGCUCUCUUUUUUUUUUUAUUGAAAAAAAGAAUAUUUUAAAAUCUUUAGCUUUCCUUUUUAAAAAUUGGUUAUUUACUAUUGAGUAGAAAAUAAUAAACAGCUAUACCAAGUACGUGCAGAGCUAGCUAGCUAUUGCAAAAUCAUAUCAUUUCAUUUACUUCAAUCCCAUUUAAAAUUUUCAGCCAUUUUUGGGAAAAGCUCAAACACGUUGUGCAAACUUAAACAAUCAUCUGAUUGUUUAUUUAAUACUGCAUGUAGGUUCAUCAUAAUUCUUACUUACAUAAUAUAUUUAAGGAAAAACUUCAAUAAGGGACCUUAGGCCAAAGACAGGGGUAAUCUUGAAGGUCAUGAAUCCAGCCUCAAGGAAUAUCUUUUCCCAUUCUUUCUCAGUUCUCUCUCUUCCAGGGAGAUAUACCAUCAUCAAUACAUCAAAAAUGAGCUUGAGUUGAGUCAUGUCUGCUUCUUCUUCAUCUCCAUUCAGCACUAUGUCAAUGAUAAUGACCUUCCCUUUUCUUCCUUCAUUUUUAUCCCUCAUAGCUUCUCUGCAUCUCUUUAGCAUCUUCACACAAUCCUCAUCAUUCCAAUCAUGCAUAACCAGCUGCAAAUUAAAUGUCAUAUUUUCUCAACCAUACGACCAUGUGGAACAUAACUUAGCAUUAUGUCAUAGGUGAUGAGCCACCCAAGAUUACUAUUUACGAACUUAGAGAUCAGAUGUAGUACAUGUCAAUUUGUAAACAAAAGAAACAAAAGUUAGCAUCUUCUUACCUUAAACAAAAAAGCACCAGCAGGGGGAAUGGACUGAAACAUGUCACCUCCCACAUAUUUCAAAUUUUCUGUAUCCGGCAUGUUAGCAACAACAUGAGGGAGGUCUAAAACUGUGCAUUUUAGAUGAGGAAAUGCAGCCAAAAUAGUCUUAGCAAUAACACCAGUGCCACCUCCGACAUCAACCAAGGAAUCCACCUCUUCAAAAACUAGUUUGCAGUCCUUCACUACCAAACUCAUCAUUUCGGAAUCACUAGCCAUAGCUUCAUUGAUAACUUUGUUGAAUCCUGGAUUUUGGUCACAAUAUUCCCACAAGGGUGUACCAUAUGCUGUUUCAAAUGGGGUGGCUUCAUUUCCAAGAAACCAAUCGCCUAAAGAAUGCCAUGGAUUAACCAUAAUAGGAUCAAGCAUUGCUCUGGCAAAAGGUGACAAAUUUGGGAUUUCACUCUUCAAAAGCAGCUUAGAAGAAGCUGUAAGAACGUACCCUUCUUGUGUUUCUGAGUUUUCAUCAAGCUUUUUAGUAGCAAAAAAACCAGAGUAUACCAACAGACGCAUCAGUCGAUGAAUUCCAUUUGAUUUUGCAGGAGGAAGUUUCAGCUCUGAAACUAACUCAGAGAGAGUCGUUGGCUGCUUAUGACUAUGAAUUAUAUCCGGUAUGCCUAACUGAAUUGCACAACGAAGA
Molecule: long non-coding RNA, 6009 nt
Filed under: Nicotiana tabacum (common tobacco)
Lineage: Eukaryota; Viridiplantae; Streptophyta; Magnoliopsida; Solanales; Solanaceae
Description: long non-coding RNA (NTAB_LNC007753)
Source: RNAcentral